Triplophysa dalaica is the source of this 1076-nucleotide long non-coding RNA. RefSeq lists it as uncharacterized. The transcript has 3 exons. NCBI's taxonomy places the organism in Eukaryota, Metazoa, Chordata, Actinopteri, Cypriniformes, Nemacheilidae. The record is from RefSeq and is a predicted model, not a curated record.
GUCAUCUCUCGAGCGCUGGCCGUGGAUCACUGCAAACACUGAAAAGGCAUUUUUGCUUCGUCAAUCUACAUUUAAAACUGCUGCUUAUUUGUUUCAGGAAAACCCCUAUUUUGACAUCACCUUCAAAUCGAAAGCGUUUGUUGCUGUUCUCGGAUUUGUUUUUUAUUUGUGUUAAUGUUGAUUAUUGUGUCAAUUUCGUUUCUUUUCGUGAAAAAGUUUUACGUUGGCAACUUUUGCGCUCUAUAUAUGAUGCUGAUGGGAGAUUCAGAGACAAACUGAAGCUAAACAAUGAGACAGGAUCUCUCACCAUCACAAACAUCAGCAUCACAAACUCUGGACUUUAUAUAAACUACAAAUCUGCAAUAGGCCUAAGACAAAAUGUUCAGAAAAGAGAUUCAAUGUUACCGUAUAUGCCCGUCUGCCUGUUCCUGUCAUCAUCAGUUACUGUCCGCAGGAUCCUAAAUCAUCAGAAAGAUCUUCAGUGUCAAAAUGUGUAUUGUUGUGUUCAGUGAUGAAUGUGACACAUGUGAGUCUCUCCGGGUACAAAGGAAACAGUUUAUUGUCCAGCAUCAGUGUGUCUGAUCUCAACAUCAGACUCUCUCUUCCUCUGGAGGUGGAAUAUCACGAUACAAACACAUACAGCUGUGUCAUCAACAAUCCCAUCACAAACCACACACAACAUUUAGACAUCACUCAAAUAUGUCGGACACAUUCAGAAUCGAAACCGGCUUGCAUAGUUUUAGCAUUAAUACUGUUUGUUCUGGUGCUUAUAUGUGUGAUAUGUUUCUACUGGAAAAGAAGGGGAAGUAGGCUAUGUUUCUACUAUAACAAUCAUGUUACCGUAUAAAAUGGUUGAUCUUGAUUAUCAUCUUCAUGUUUUUGUGCUCAUAGGCCCCUGUUGAGCAAGACAAUAGCGAGUGCACCAAGGAACAAAGAAAUCCAUAAUUUGUUCCCAAAGAAGACAACCCUCUGUUAUUGAUGCUAUAUGAAGAUUUCUUGGAUGAUAUGGAAAUGUGAAGAAUGCAUAAUUUAUUUAAAUAAAAAUUGUAACACAUCUAUGCUUUAAUGCAUGUUGA